Molecule: long non-coding RNA, 483 nt
Filed under: Homo sapiens (human)
Lineage: Eukaryota; Metazoa; Chordata; Mammalia; Primates; Hominidae
Description: non-protein coding lnc-CDK11A-2:3
Source: RNAcentral
CCGGGUUCAAGUGAUUGUCCUGCCUCAGCCUCCUGAGUAGCUGGGAUUACAGGCGCCCACCACCAUGCCUGGACGUCCCAGUGAUCGGGAGGAGCGGGAAGAGCUUCAGCUACAACCAGGACGUGGUGCUGCUGCUUCUGACAGACGGAGUCCUGUUCCACCUUCAGAGCGUCACGGCGUACGCCCUCAUGGGGAAAAUCUCCCCGGUGACUUUCAGGUCCCGCAGGCCCUGCACCGAGUCGCCUUGUCCAUGGCGCUGCCCUGCCCCAUGCUUCCUGCGUCCUGAGUAGGAGGUAUCUCCGAGACAGGAAAAGUGGCCGCUCUCUCUCACUUUUUCUGGAACUCAUGGUGGUCUCCUGGGCUUGGUCACUGUCUCUCACCAGCAUGUUUCUUUGUGCGGUCAGGAAUUAUUUCCAAAUGCUCCUGAAGCCUAGUGUUUUAGUGAACAUUAGUGAUUGUUAGCAGUGGUUCAAAAAAAAAAAA